Cynoglossus semilaevis (tongue sole) is the source of this 137-nucleotide small nucleolar RNA. Lineage: Eukaryota; Metazoa; Chordata; Actinopteri; Pleuronectiformes; Cynoglossidae. The record is from Ensembl.
CACGAGGCUCCGAUCGAAGCCAGUCGUGCUCAUGUGGCACGAAUGGUCAAAAGGAAGCCAAGAGUAAGACUUUCACCGACGGUCGCUGUGCAGUUUGAAAAUGGCUGCUUUAGCAACAUUUAGGGGGAAGGACAACC